This 497-nucleotide ribosomal RNA is filed under the name uncultured bacterium. RNAcentral describes it as "partial 16S ribosomal RNA". It matches the Rfam family "Bacterial small subunit ribosomal RNA", at positions 28 to 507 of the family's 1533-position model. The record is from RNAcentral.
GAUGAACGCUGGCGGCGUGCCUAAUACAUGCAAGUCGAGCGAACAGACGAGGAGCUUGCUCCUCUGACGUUAGCGGCGGACGGGUGAGUAACACGUGGAUAACCUACCUAUAAGACUGGGAUAACUUCGGGAAACCGGAGCUAAUACCGGAUAAUAUAUUGAACCGCAGGGUUCAAUAGUGAAAGACGGUUUUGCUGUCACUAAUAGAUGGAUCCGCGCCGCAUUAGCUAGUUGGUAAGGUAACGGCUUACCAAGGCAACGAUGCGUAGCCGACCUGAGAGGGUGAUCGGCCACACUGGAACUGAGACACGGUCCAGACUCCUACGGGAGGCAGCAGUAGGGAAUCUUCCGCAAUGGGCGAAAGCUUGACGGAGCAACGCCGCGUGAGUGAUGAAGGUCUUCGGAUCGUAAAACUCUGUUAUUAGGGAAGAACAAAUGUGUAAGUAACUAUGCACGUCUUGACGGUACCUAAUCAGAAAGCCACGGCUAACUACGUG